Austrofundulus limnaeus is the source of this 736-nucleotide long non-coding RNA. RefSeq lists it as uncharacterized. Lineage: Eukaryota; Metazoa; Chordata; Actinopteri; Cyprinodontiformes; Rivulidae. The transcript is spliced from 3 exons. The record is from RefSeq and is a predicted model, not a curated record.
ACAGAAGCUCUGUAAGACCAGAACCAGAACCUGAACCUGAGUCUGAACCUGAGUCUGAGUCUGGAACCAGAACCAGAACCUGGUUCUGGUUGUCUCUAACAGGUUUUGACAGAACUUUGUGGUUCAGACUCAGCUGUGUGAAGAACAGGUCUGACUGAGACAAGAGACGAAGACGAGGAUCAGUUUCCACAACCUUCAGAGGACAAACAGAGACAAAGUCCAGAGGGACCAUGAGUCACACCUGAGACAGAGGAGGAGGAGGAGGAGGAGGAGGAGGAGGUGUUACAGGACAGAAGAGGUGAGGAAGAGGAGGAGGAGGAGCAGCCAACAGGUCCUGCAGGAGGAGGUUUUUACCGGUUUAUAAACAGCUGAGAAGUUUCAAAGUCAUCCAGGAGCAGCGAGUCGCUCUGAGUUCAAGUAAACAAGCAGGUUUGAUCCAACCUUCAGUCUGAAGCUGGUGAACCUCUGAGGACCAGCAGGGGGCGCUCCUCCAGAGACCUCACAGCUGAGCCGUGGCCUCCAUGUAUGAAAACAUCAGAACCACUCUAGUCUGACUCGACCCGGUUCUGGUUCUGUUGCUUCGUCUUAAUUUCAGGAAACCACAAAAUUAAAGUAUUCUGCCACCAGGUGGCGCCAAAACAAAUGUUGACACAACCUGAGCAGAAACUUGAAGCUGAAAAGUUUCAGAAGUAAAAAAGUCGCGACUCACCGUUGAUUUAGGAGGAGGGGAGGAGAC